UGACCUUCGGAGCCCACGGUAUGGGCUGGU
RNAcentral lists this small RNA (30 nucleotides) under Bombyx mori (domestic silkworm). Its description in RNAcentral is "ovarian small RNA-31668". Lineage: Eukaryota; Metazoa; Arthropoda; Insecta; Lepidoptera; Bombycidae. The record is from RNAcentral.